GGUGUGGUCAGUGUAAAGUAGAGUGAGAGGUUCAGGUGGCUGGUUUUCACUUUCAGUUUCGAUUUUGCUUUUCGGCUUGCUGUACAGACUGCUGCCAUGCCUGCUGGCUAGGUCACUCUAUAACUUUCCUGUAAUUUUCCACACUCUUCUGUUAUGGCAUCUGAUUGAGUUCAGCCAGUAUCUGAUAGCAGCAAGACAUUGCACUGGAGGAAGAGAAUUAAGGCAUAGCAUAAGAUUGGCAUUUCUGGU
RNAcentral lists this long non-coding RNA (249 nucleotides) under Cricetulus griseus (Chinese hamster). Its description in RNAcentral is "lncRNA (ENSCGRG00000024337.1)". Lineage: Eukaryota; Metazoa; Chordata; Mammalia; Rodentia; Cricetidae. The record is from RNAcentral.